UUUAGCAUGGAAUAAUAAAAUAGGACGUGUGGUUCUAUUUUGUUGGUUUCUAGGACCGCCGUAAUGAUUAAUAGGGACAGUCGGGGGCAUCAGUAUUCAAUCGUCAGAGGUGAAAUUCUUGGAUUUAUUGAAGACUAACUACUGCGAAAGCAUUUGCCAAGGACGUUUUCAUUAAUCAGGAACGAAAGUUAGGGGAUCGAAGACGAUCAGAUACCGUCGUAGUCUUAACCAUAAACUAUGCCGACUAGGGAUCGGACGGUGUUAUUUUUUGACCCGUUCGGCACCUUACGAGAAAUCAAAGUGCUUGGGCUCCAGGGGGAGUAUGGUCGCAAGGCUGAAACUUAAAGGAAUUGACGGAAGGGCACCACCAGGUGUGGAGCCUGCGGCUUAAUUUGACUCAACACGGGGAAACUCACCAGGUCCAGAAAUCUAGA
This 434-nucleotide ribosomal RNA is filed under the name uncultured fungus. Its description in RNAcentral is "SSU rRNA". It matches the Rfam family "Eukaryotic small subunit ribosomal RNA", at positions 803 to 1236 of the family's 1831-position model. The record is from RNAcentral. Lineage: Eukaryota; Fungi.